GAUGAACGCUGGCUACAGGCUUAACACAUGCAAGUCGAGGGGAAACGACGGGGAAGCUUGCUUCCCCGGGCGUCGACCGGCGCACGGGUGAGUAACGCGUAUCCAACCUGCCUCUGACUGAGGGAUAACCCGUCGAAAGUCGGCCUAAUACCUCAUGGCAUCGUCUGCGGGCAUCCAACGACGAUUAAAGAUUUCAUCGGUCAGGGAUGGGGAUGCGUCUGAUUAGCUAGUUGGCGGGGUAACGGCCCACCAAGGCGACGAUCAGUAGGGGUUCUGAGAGGAAGGUCCCCCACAUUGGAACUGAGACACGGUCCACACUCCUACGGGAGGCAGCAGUGAGGAAUAUUGGUCAAUGGGCGAGAGCCUGAACCAGCCAAGUAGCGUGCAGGAUGACGGCCCUAUGGGUUGUAAACUGCUUUUAUGCGGGGAUAAAGUGAGGGACGUGUCCUUCAUUGCAGGUACCGCAUGAAUAAGGACCGGCUAAUUCCGUG
This 491-nucleotide ribosomal RNA is filed under the name uncultured bacterium. RNAcentral describes it as "partial 16S ribosomal RNA". It matches the Rfam family "Bacterial small subunit ribosomal RNA", at positions 28 to 507 of the family's 1533-position model. The record is from RNAcentral.